CUCAAAGGAACAAAGGGCUGCUUAGCAGCGUUGAGCUAGGGUAAAAAGGCCAGGAAGAAAAGCACCCAUAAAACUUUAUGACUAAGAGCAGAAUGAGAUGAGAAAUGCUCUGGGAGAAGUGUUGGAUCAGGAAACAAGUCACUCAAACCCAGGGGUAUUGAUUUGGAGCACUACCUGAAACCAUGAGACAUUGAGCAGAUUCUUGCAGAAU
RNAcentral lists this long non-coding RNA (211 nucleotides) under Junco hyemalis (dark-eyed junco). Its description in RNAcentral is "lncRNA (ENSJHYG00000014347.1)". Lineage: Eukaryota; Metazoa; Chordata; Aves; Passeriformes; Passerellidae. The record is from RNAcentral.